GAAUUCACUAGUGAUUCAGGCCUAACACAAGCAAGUCGGGCGGGGUUUUCGGACCUAAAAAAAAACGGGUGAGUAAUGCGUAGGAAGCUACCCGAUAGAGGGGGAUACCAGUUGGAAACGACUGUUAAUACCGCAUAAUGUCUACGGACCAAAGUGUGGGACCUUCGGGCCACAUGCUAUCGGAUGUGCCUACGUGGGAUUAGCUAGUUGGUGAGGUAAUGGCUCACCAAGGCGACGAUCCCUAGCUGGUUUGAGAGGAUGAUCAGCCACACUGGAAUUGAGGCACGGUCCAGACUCCUACGGGAGGCAGCAGUGGGGAAUAUUGGACAAUGGGCGCAAGCCUGAUCCUUUCAAAGCGCGUGUGUGAAGAAGGCCUUCGGGUU
This 383-nucleotide ribosomal RNA is filed under the name uncultured bacterium. RNAcentral's name for it is "bacterial SSU rRNA". It matches the Rfam family "Bacterial small subunit ribosomal RNA", at positions 34 to 424 of the family's 1533-position model. The record is from RNAcentral.